UUUUUAACAAUAUUUAUUCAUUAUUAUUAUAACUCGCAAUAUUAACAACCAGAUCGUUCACAGGAAAGAGGGGGCUUUCCGAUAAGGAUUUCUCCCUAUUGACGUGCAAUUACGUGACCAAACCCCUUUCCUCGAUAAAACUUUCUAGACAUUGUUAAUUAUGCACAUAAUAAUAUGAAUAACUUGUCAUCUCAAUUAUUGAUUUAAUAAUAUAAAAUAUUGUGACAAUAAUUGAAUCUAUAACGUGAGAUACUAUUCAACAAUUACUGUAUCAAUAAUAAAAUAAAACUGAGUGACUUCUCACGUAAGCAUCAAUAAUCAAUGCCGUGUGCUACUAUGCAACCACGCGUAUUACUGUACUUUUACCACUGGGUAUUCCAACAGUUUAACGAUAAAACUUUCGCCGUUAUUUUCAUAAAAAGAUAUUUCUGUCGUUUUCUCAUUCCUAAAUUAAUUUCGUUGUGGGGUCCACCAAUGAUUGCGUCGUUAUACAAAUAUUCUCUGAUAAAACGAAUAUUUCCCGAUCAAUCGAAUAUUUUAUAAUAACUUGCAUACUUUUCAAAAUCAAUAAUUAUUACCCACAACUUUAAUAUUAUAUCAAAUCCACACCUUAAUAAUAAUAAAAAAUAUUUCGAGAAAAUUAAAUUUUAUUCAUAAAAUUUGGGGUCUUACAACCUCCCCUUCUUAUGAAAUUUCGUCCUCAAAAUUAACGUACGUACCUGGUAUGUAAAAGAGAUGAGAAUACCUUGAUUUCAUUUCAGAUUCUAACUCUUGAGGUAUAACCUUUGAGCGUAAAAUAUGUUCCGUAUUAUCCAAAAUUUUAACAGGUAUCUCCUCAUACGUUAAAUCUUCUGCUAUCUCAUCUAGUUCUAAUUCAAUAAUGUGGUUCGGGUCGUCCACAUAUUUACGUAACAUCGAUACGUGAAAAAUGUUAUGAACAGAUGACAUACUUGGUGGUAAAGCGAGUCUAUAGGCCACAGUUCCUACUUGAUCGAUGAUUCCAAAUAGACCAAUAAAAGCAAGGGUUGAAAUUUCCUCUCUUCGUUGAUUCUUGCUUCUAGAAUAACGCCCUCUUGAACUUUCUUCUUCACAUUCAUCAGCUUUGAGUCUGUAGCUUGAGCGGCUUUAACUUUAUCGAUUAAAGUUGGUUCUAAUCGUAUAUUCAUCAUCUUCACGUGGGUCUCUAGAGUCUUUAAAACUAUCCCUAUUUUUUGUAAGUCGUACAAAAUGGGUCUUUGUGUUAACAAUAUCGCUCUCGUAAAUGCAUACGAUCUUCUACUCAACGCGUCAGCUACUACGUUCGCGUUUCCAAGAUGGUAUUGAAUGUGAUAUUAUGUUUUAGAUAUUUAUUUAAUUAUUUAUUUCCUAUUUUACUUGAAUUAAUUUAUCAUUGACCUUGAUAAAUUAUAUGUCAAGUGUUAAAUAAAUUAAUUCAUAUAUUAUUCAAGGCAAGGAUACCUUAUUUCUUUUUUCUAAAAAACAAAGUUGGGCAAAUUAUUUUCAUAUAUAUAUAUAUAUAUAUAUAUAUAUAUAUUUAAUGCAUGCUGCCGUGUGUUUGCAUAUGUUGCCAUUUUCUUGAAGUGUAAACCGUGUGUUGCCAAGUGACUAUCAUUUUGGGACCUUAAUUAAAGCACAUGUUGGCUGGUAUUAGUCAAACAAAUAAUAAAUGCUCAGACGGUAGAAAAACGCCUAGGCAUUUUUAUAACUCUUACCGCAUAAAAAUAUUGCUUUGAUCUGGACCAAUCAUUCAAAAAUAAUUGAUCAUAUUCGUACAUUCAAAAAUUUCAGUUUUGAAAAUUACUAUUUUGCCCUAACUUCAAAAAUUCUAUAAAUAAGGAGUAUUUCAUUUAUUUGGUUUUUACCAAUUCAGUGAAAAGAAAAUCAUACUCUCCUUGCCUACAUUCUCUCAAAAUUUUACAUCUUUUCGUACAAAAGUUCUG
Molecule: long non-coding RNA, 1940 nt
Filed under: Panax ginseng (ginseng)
Lineage: Eukaryota; Viridiplantae; Streptophyta; Magnoliopsida; Apiales; Araliaceae
Description: long non-coding RNA (PGIN_LNC014284)
Source: RNAcentral